GACGAACGCUAGCGGCGUGCUUAACACAUGCAAGUCGAACGGAAAGGCCCUGCUUUUGUGGGGUGCUCGAGUGGCGAACGGGAGUUUAACCCGUUAGUAACCUGCCCUUGACUUUGGGAUAACUUCAGGCACCUGGGGCUAAUACCUGAUAGGAGCUCCUGCUUCAUGGUGGGGGCUGGAAAGUUUCGGCGGUUGGGGAUGGACUCGCGGCUUUUCAGCUUGUUGGUGGGGUAGUGGCUUACCAAGGCUUUGACGGGUAGCCGGCCGGAGAGGGUGACCGGCCACAUUGGGGCUGAGAUACGGCCCAGACUCCUACGGGAGGCAGCAGUGGGGAAUAUUGCACAAUGGGCGGAAGCCUGAUGCGGCAACGCUGCGUGCGGGAGGACGGCCUGCGGGUUGUAAACCGCUUUCGCCUGUGACGAAGCGUGAGUGGCGGUAAUGGGUAGAGAAGCACCGGCUAACUACGUG
This 468-nucleotide ribosomal RNA is filed under the name uncultured bacterium. Its description in RNAcentral is "partial 16S ribosomal RNA". It matches the Rfam family "Bacterial small subunit ribosomal RNA", at positions 28 to 507 of the family's 1533-position model. The record is from RNAcentral.